This 197-nucleotide ribosomal RNA is filed under the name uncultured bacterium. RNAcentral's name for it is "partial 16S ribosomal RNA". It matches the Rfam family "Bacterial small subunit ribosomal RNA", at positions 328 to 539 of the family's 1533-position model. The record is from RNAcentral.
ACGCUCGACACCUACGGGAGGCAGCAGUGGGGAAUAUUGCACAAUGGAGGAAACUCUGAUGCAGCGACGCCGCGUGGAGGAAGAAGGUCUUCGGAUUGUAAACUCCUGUUGUUGAGGACGAUAAUGACGGUACUCAACAAGGAAGUGACGGCUAACUACGUGCCGGCAGCCGCGGUAAUCUGAGCGGCUGGCAAGGC